GGGGCCGACUGGUUUUGACAGCGGGUCUAAUUGUAUUGUAAGCAUGCCGAGCGCUGGGAUACAGCUCGUAAAUCUCAUAUUUCACACUUUUUAAACGGCGAGAAUAACUACGCCCUAGCUGCAUAACCCGAAUUACAGUACGGUAUGCCUCGGCCCACAAGGUGGGCAAGCAGGAAGUCGCUCGAAGGCCUUGGUUUACGGCGUUCGAUAUAGCGGCUUCGUAAAAGUAAACCUAGCGGUGCUGGUGCUUUGAUGGCAUCGUGAAUGCCGAUACCUAUCGGCACAAGUAAAGAUAAGGAGUGCGUUGGUAGUUUUCGACCGGCAAUCUCUCGAAAACCCAAAUGAAAACUAAGCAUGUAGAAAGCAGUAUAAUUGCGCGUUUGGACGAGGGUUCGAAUCCCUCCGGCUCCACCA
RNAcentral lists this transfer-messenger RNA (414 nucleotides) under Aequorivita vladivostokensis. Its description in RNAcentral is "Standard tmRNA". It matches the Rfam family "transfer-messenger RNA". Rfam says of the family: Bacterial tmRNA, also known as 10Sa RNA or SsrA, is named for its dual tRNA and mRNA-like properties. Its role is to liberate the mRNA from a stalled ribosome. The record is from RNAcentral. Lineage: Bacteria; Pseudomonadati; Bacteroidota; Flavobacteriia; Flavobacteriales; Flavobacteriaceae. RNAcentral also lists the same sequence under 1 other name.